This 506-nucleotide ribosomal RNA is filed under the name uncultured bacterium. RNAcentral's name for it is "partial 16S ribosomal RNA". It matches the Rfam family "Bacterial small subunit ribosomal RNA", at positions 29 to 523 of the family's 1533-position model. The record is from RNAcentral.
AGUGAACGCUGGCGGUAGGCCUAACACAUGCAAGUCGAACGGCAGCACAGGAGAGCUUGCUCUCUGGGUGGCGAGUGGCGGACGGGUGAGGAAUACAUCGGAAUCUACUCUGUCGUGGGGGAUAACGUAGGGAAACUUACGCUAAUACCGCAUACGACCUACGGGUGAAAGCAGGGGACCUUCGGGCCUUGCGCGAUUGAAUGAGCCGAUGUCGGAUUAGCUAGUUGGCGGGGUAAAGGCCCACCAAGGCGACGAUCCGUAGCUGGUCUGAGAGGAUGAUCAGCCACACGGGAACUGAGACACGGUCCGGACUCCUACGGGAGGCAGCAGUGGGGAAUAUUGGACAAUGGGCGCAAGCCUGAUCCGGCCAUACCGCGUGGGUGAAGAAGGCCUUCGGGUUGUAAAGCCCUUUUGUUGGGAAAGAAAUCCAGCUGGCUAAUACCCGGUUGGGAUGACGGUACCCAAAGAAUAAGCACCGGCUAACUUCGUGCCAGCCGCCGCAGUAA